GGCUCCUUGGUGUGAUGAGGAGGAUGUUGAGAAAGAAGUAAAGGCACGCACAAAAGGGGAGAUGGGUGCAGCGAAGACUCUUUGUUCUCCAUUUGACCAGCCUGAGCUGCCUGAAGGUACUUUGUGCUUUGCCUCGGGUAAAUCCGCUAAGAAGUGGACAUACUGGGGUCGCAGCUAUUGAUGAUUCAUUUUCACCUCUUUUAUAUUUUUCUGCGUUAUGGUGAUAUGGGAAAUUGAAUUCCGGAACUUCAAUUGUAACAUGAGUUUCUUUCUUAAGGACUGAUUGUUGUUCUAGUUCCCCAGAAUUUUUGAUUUACUAUUUAUACAGAACGUUUUGUGCUUGAUAAUUCUGUUUGUUAGUUUCAGCCUUUAUUUUCUUUCCAAUCUUACAUUGGAUUAAUUUUGUAGUUCACAAAUCAAAGAGAUGCUUUUAAAC
Molecule: unclassified non-coding RNA, 436 nt
Filed under: Hevea brasiliensis (rubber tree)
Lineage: Eukaryota; Viridiplantae; Streptophyta; Magnoliopsida; Malpighiales; Euphorbiaceae
Source: RNAcentral